This 408-nucleotide unclassified non-coding RNA is filed under the name soil metagenome. RNAcentral describes it as "partial contains 5.8S ribosomal RNA, internal transcribed spacer 2, and large subunit ribosomal RNA". The stretch from base 1 to 120 matches the Rfam family "5.8S ribosomal RNA", at positions 35 to 154 of the family's 154-position model. The record is from RNAcentral.
GAUGAAGAACGUAGCGAAAUGCGAUAAGUAAUGUGAAUUGCAGAAUUCAGUGAAUCAUCGAAUCUUUGAACGCACCUUGCGCUCCUUGGCAUUCCGAGGAGCAUGCCUGUUUGAGUGUCAUUAAAUUCUCAAGACCUGUCUGCUUUUUUGAUAGGUAUUGGAUUUUGGGGGUUGCAGGCUGUUUCAAAUAAAUAGCCUUGCUCUCCUUGAAUGUAUUAGUGGAGAAAAGCCAUUGAACUCCAUUGGUGUGAUAAAACCUAUCAAUGCCAGGAGCAAUAUCACUACUUCUCUCUGCUGUCUAACUGUGACUGUCUGUAUUAAUUAGUAUGGAUGGGGACAACAUGACCAACUUGACCUCAAAUCAGGUAGGACUACCCGCUGAACUUAAGCAUAUCAAUAAGCGGAGGA